AUUGAACGCUGGCGGCAGGCCUAAAACAUGCAAGUCGAGCGAGCGGCGGACGGGUGAGUAAUGUCUGGGAAACUGACUGAUAUAGAGGGAUAAAUACUGGAAACGGUGGCUAAUACCGCGUACCUCACGAUGUGACCAGAUGGGAUUAGCUGGUAGGUGUGGUAAAGGCUAACCGGGGUGACGAUCCCUAGCUGGUCUGAGAGGAUGACCAGCCACACUGGAACUGAGACACGGUCCAGACUCCUACGGGAGGCAGCAGUGGGGAAUAUUGCACAAUGGGCGCAAGCCUGAUGCAGCCAUGCCGCGUGUAUGAAGAAGGCCUUCGGGUUGUAAAGUACUUUCAGCGGGGAGGCGUUACCCGCAGAAGAAGCACCGGCUAACUCCGUGCCAGCCGCCGCGGUAAUAC
Molecule: ribosomal RNA, 406 nt
Filed under: uncultured bacterium
Lineage: Bacteria
Description: partial 16S ribosomal RNA
Rfam family: Bacterial small subunit ribosomal RNA
Source: RNAcentral